GAUGAACGCUGGCGGCGUGCCUAAUACAUGCAAGUCGAGCGAACAGACGAGGAUCUUGCUCCUCUGACGUUAGCGGCGGACGGGUGAGUAACACGUGGAUAACCUACCUAUAAGACUGGGAUACCUUCGGGAAACCGGAGCUCAUACCGGAUAAUAUAUUGAACCGCAUGGUUCAAUAGUGAAAGACGGUUUUGCUGUCACUUAUAGAUGGAUCCGCGCCGCAUUAGCUAGUUGGUAAGGUAACGGCUUACCAAGGCGACGAUGCGUAGCCGACCUGAGAGGGUGAUCGGCCACACUGGAACUGAGACACGGUCCAGACUCCUACGGGAGGCAGCAGUAGGGAAUCUUGCGCAAUGGGCGAAAGCCUGACGGAGCAACGCCGCGUGAGUGAUGAAGGUCUUCGGAUCGUAAAACUCUGUUAUUAGGGAAGAACAAAUGUGUAAGUAACUAUGCACGUCUUGACGGUACCUAAUCAGAAAGCCACGGCUAACUACGUG
RNAcentral lists this ribosomal RNA (497 nucleotides) under uncultured bacterium. RNAcentral's name for it is "partial 16S ribosomal RNA". It matches the Rfam family "Bacterial small subunit ribosomal RNA", at positions 28 to 507 of the family's 1533-position model. The record is from RNAcentral.